This 2903-nucleotide ribosomal RNA is filed under the name Salmonella enterica subsp. enterica serovar Newport. RNAcentral's name for it is "bacterial LSU rRNA". It matches the Rfam family "Bacterial large subunit ribosomal RNA". The record is from RNAcentral. Lineage: Bacteria; Pseudomonadati; Pseudomonadota; Gammaproteobacteria; Enterobacterales; Enterobacteriaceae.
UUAAGCGACUAAGCGUACACGGUGGAUGCCCUGGCAGUCAGAGGCGAUGAAGGGCGUGCUAAUCUGCGAUAAGCGCCGGUAAGGUGAUAUGAACCGUUAUAACCGGCGAUACCCGAAUGGGGAAACCCAGUGUGACUCGUCACACUAUCAUUAACUGAAUCCAUAGGUUAAUGAGGCGAACCGGGGGAACUGAAACAUCUAAGUACCCCGAGGAAAAGAAAUCAACCGAGAUUCCCCCAGUAGCGGCGAGCGAACGGGGAGGAGCCCAGAGCCUGAAUCAGCAUGUGUGUUAGUGGAAGCGUCUGGAAAGGCGCGCGAUACAGGGUGACAGCCCCGUACACAAAAGCGCAUGUGCUGUGAGCUCGAUGAGUAGGGCGGGACACGUGGUAUCCUGUCUGAAUAUGGGGGGACCAUCCUCCAAGGCUAAAUACUCCUGACUGACCGAUAGUGAACCAGUACCGUGAGGGAAAGGCGAAAAGAACCCCGGCGAGGGGAGUGAAAAAGAACCUGAAACCGUGUACGUACAAGCAGUGGGAGCACAGGUUUACCUGUGUGACUGCGUACCUUUUGUAUAAUGGGUCAGCGACUUAUAUUCUGUAGCAAGGUUAACCGAAUAGGGGAGCCGGAGGGAAACCGAGUCUUAAUUGGGCGUUAAGUUGCAGGGUAUAGACCCGAAACCCGGUGAUCUAGCCAUGGGCAGGUUGAAGGUUGGGUAACACUAACUGGAGGACCGAACCGACUAAUGUUGAAAAAUUAGCGGAUGACCUGUGGCUGGGGGUGAAAGGCCAAUCAAACCGGGAGAUAGCUGGUUCUCCCCGAAAGCUAUUUAGGUAGCGCCUCGUGAAUUCAUCUCCGGGGGUAGAGCACUGUUUCGGCUAGGGGGCCAUCCCGGCUUACCAACCCGAUGCAAACUGCGAAUACCGGAGAAUGUUAUCACGGGAGACACACGGCGGGUGCUAACGUCCGUCGUGAAGAGGGAAACAACCCAGACCGCCAGCUAAGGUCCCAAAGUCAUGGUUAAGUGGGAAACGAUGUGGGAAGGCCCAGACAGCCAGGAUGUUGGCUUAGAAGCAGCCAUCAUUUAAAGAAAGCGUAAUAGCUCACUGGUCGAGUCGGCCUGCGCGGAAGAUGUAACGGGGCUAAACCAUGCACCGAAGCUGCGGCAGCGACACUGUGUGUUGUUGGGUAGGGGAGCGUUCUGUAAGCCUGUGAAGGUGGCCUGUGAGGGUUGCUGGAGGUAUCAGAAGUGCGAAUGCUGACAUAAGUAACGAUAAAGCGGGUGAAAAGCCCGCUCGCCGGAAGACCAAGGGUUCCUGUCCAACGUUAAUCGGGGCAGGGUGAGUCGACCCCUAAGGCGAGGCCGAAAGGCGUAGUCGAUGGGAAACAGGUUAAUAUUCCUGUACUUGGUGUUACUGCGAAGGGGGGACGGAGAAGGCUAUGUUGGCCGGGCGACGGUUGUCCCGGUUUAAGCGUGUAGGUGUGUGUUCCAGGUAAAUCCGGUUCACUUUAACACUGAGGCGUGAUGACGAGGCACUACGGUGCUGAAGCAACAAAUGCCCUGCUUCCAGGAAAAGCCUCUAAGCAUCAGGUAACAUCAAAUCGUACCCCAAACCGACACAGGUGGUCAGGUAGAGAAUACCAAGGCGCUUGAGAGAACUCGGGUGAAGGAACUAGGCAAAAUGGUGCCGUAACUUCGGGAGAAGGCACGCUGACACGUAGGUGAAGUGAUUUACUCAUGGAGCUGAAGUCAGUCGAAGAUACCAGCUGGCUGCAACUGUUUAUUAAAAACACAGCACUGUGCAAACACGAAAGUGGACGUAUACGGUGUGACGCCUGCCCGGUGCCGGAAGGUUAAUUGAUGGGGUCAGCGCAAGCGAAGCUCCUGAUCGAAGCCCCGGUAAACGGCGGCCGUAACUAUAACGGUCCUAAGGUAGCGAAAUUCCUUGUCGGGUAAGUUCCGACCUGCACGAAUGGCGUAAUGAUGGCCAGGCUGUCUCCACCCGAGACUCAGUGAAAUUGAACUCGCUGUGAAGAUGCAGUGUACCCGCGGCAAGACGGAAAGACCCCGUGAACCUUUACUAUAGCUUGACACUGAACAUUGAGCCUUGAUGUGUAGGAUAGGUGGGAGGCUUUGAAGUGUGGACGCCAGUCUGCAUGGAGCCGACCUUGAAAUACCACCCUUUAAUGUUUGAUGUUCUAACGUGGACCCGUAAUCCGGGUUGCGGACAGUGUCUGGUGGGUAGUUUGACUGGGGCGGUCUCCUCCUAAAGAGUAACGGAGGAGCACGAAGGUUGGCUAAUCCUGGUCGGACAUCAGGAGGUUAGUGCAAUGGCAUAAGCCAGCUUGACUGCGAGCGUGACGGCGCGAGCAGGUGCGAAAGCAGGUCAUAGUGAUCCGGUGGUUCUGAAUGGAAGGGCCAUCGCUCAACGGAUAAAAGGUACUCCGGGGAUAACAGGCUGAUACCGCCCAAGAGUUCAUAUCGACGGCGGUGUUUGGCACCUCGAUGUCGGCUCAUCACAUCCUGGGGCUGAAGUAGGUCCCAAGGGUAUGGCUGUUCGCCAUUUAAAGUGGUACGCGAGCUGGGUUUAGAACGUCGUGAGACAGUUCGGUCCCUAUCUGCCGUGGGCGCUGGAGAACUGAGGGGGGCUGCUCCUAGUACGAGAGGACCGGAGUGGACGCAUCACUGGUGUUCGGGUUGUCAUGCCAAUGGCACUGCCCGGUAGCUAAAUGCGGAAGAGAUAAGUGCUGAAAGCAUCUAAGCACGAAACUUGCCCCGAGAUGAGUUCUCCCUGAGACUUAGAGUCUCCUGAAGGAACGUUGAAGACGACGACGUUGAUAGGCCGGGUGUGUAAGCGCAGCGAUGCGUUGAGCUAACCGGUACUAAUGAACCGUGAGGCUUAACC